RNAcentral lists this unclassified non-coding RNA (477 nucleotides) under Melitaea cinxia (Glanville fritillary). RNAcentral's name for it is "misc RNA ENSMCXG00005010133.1". The record is from RNAcentral. Lineage: Eukaryota; Metazoa; Arthropoda; Insecta; Lepidoptera; Nymphalidae.
ACCUGCUGACUCUUUUCAAGACUUUAUUCACUAACACUAGGUCCAACACAAAGCACUAGGUUCAAACACUAAGCACUAAGUUCAAACACUAAGCACUAAGUUCAAACACUAAGCACUAAUUUCAAACACUAAGCACUCACGAUGUCCUCAGUCGUAGGUUUCGCUGGUACCACUCUUGAUCACUAGUUUUCACUCUUGAAGUCGCCUCGAAGAUCGCUCAAACUGAACUGUACUCGCUCGCCUCCCUGCGGCUAUUUAUAUCGGCCGACACGAGGCCCAGACCAUUCUGGAAAGUUCGCGCAUGUGCCCGGUUUUCGAGACUAUACUUCUACAAAGUUCCACAGUAGUUCCUCUAACGCCAUCUAGUAUUGAGUAGAGAGUUUUAUGCGGUCUCUGUCUUUGCGUGGUUUCAAUGGUUGCCGCUAGAUGGCGCUAGUUUCUUUGUGUCUCCUUAACAAUAACAAAGUUAAUCUCUCU